UCCGGAAUUAUUGGGCGUAAAGCGUCCGCAGGUGGCACAUCCAGUCUGCCGUCAAAGACCGGGGCUUAACCCUGGAAAGGCGGUGGAAACUGAAUUGCUAGAGUGUCGUAGGGGUAGAGGGAAUUCCCGGUGUAGCGGUGAAAUGCGUAGAGCUCGGGAAGAACAUCGGUGGCGAAAGCGCUCUACUGGACGACAACUGACACUCAGGGACGAAAGCUAGGGGAGCGAAUGGG
This 233-nucleotide ribosomal RNA is filed under the name uncultured bacterium. RNAcentral's name for it is "partial 16S ribosomal RNA". It matches the Rfam family "Bacterial small subunit ribosomal RNA", at positions 544 to 776 of the family's 1533-position model. The record is from RNAcentral.